RNAcentral lists this long non-coding RNA (238 nucleotides) under Linum usitatissimum (flax). RNAcentral describes it as "long non-coding RNA (LUSI_LNC000448)". Lineage: Eukaryota; Viridiplantae; Streptophyta; Magnoliopsida; Malpighiales; Linaceae. The record is from RNAcentral.
UCACCCAAAGAUGAGAACUUUACCCAAUUGGGUAGCUAUGGCUCACCUAAAAAUGAGAGCUUUUCACAAUUGGGUACCUAUAGUUCGCCCAAAGAUGAGAGCUUUACCCAACUGGGUAGCUAUGGUUCACUCAAAGAUGAGAACUUUUUGAAAUUGGGUAGCUAUGGUUCACUCAAAGAUGAGAACUUUACCCAAUUGGGCAGCUAUGGGUCAAUGAGGAAGGACAAAGUGGAGUGGA